Molecule: long non-coding RNA, 890 nt
Organism: Ictalurus punctatus (channel catfish)
Lineage: Eukaryota; Metazoa; Chordata; Actinopteri; Siluriformes; Ictaluridae
Source: Ensembl
GAAAUCUGGACAAUCUGAAAUCCUGGAAGCAAAAACACACAAGCAAAUACUUAAAUAAAUAAAUAAGGCACACACACACACACAAAAAAAAAAAAAAAAAAAAAAAUGCAUAAAUAAUUUUUUUUAAAACGUUGUUUUAGCACAGAUGGAACUGGAUUUCACACACUUUAAAAUGUAACUCACAUUAUUAAUAAUCAAUCAAUCAAACAAACAAACAAAAAAGGAAAUAAAUAAAUAGCCUACAUAGAUAAACAGAUUGAUAGAUUGAUUGAAAGACAGACAGACAGAUAGAUAGAUAGAUAGAUAGAUAGAUAGAUAGAUAGACAGACAGACAGUUAGAUAGAUAGAUAGACAGACAGACAGACAGAUAGAUAGACAGACAGACAGACAGACAGACAGAUAGAUAGAUAGAUAGAUAGAUAGAUAGAUAGAUAGAUAGAUAGGUAGACAGACAGACAGACAGACAGACAGACAGACAGACAGACAGAUAGAUAGACAGACAGAUAGAUAGAUAGAUAGAUAGAUAGAUAGAUAGACAGACAGAUAGAUAGAUAGAUAGAUAGACAGACAGAUAGAUAGAUAGAUAGAUAGACAGACAGAUAGAUAGAUAGAUAGAUAGAUAGACAGACAGAUAGAUAGACAGACAGACAGACAGACAGAUAGAUAGACAGACAGACAGAUAGAUAGAUAGAUAGACAGACAGAUAGAUAGAUAGACAGACAGACAGACAGAUAGAUAGAUAGAUAGAUAGAUAGAUAGAUAAUAGAUAGAUUGAGAUCACUCAUUUUAUAGUCGCGUUGUCAUUUUUUAUCGCAGCGGCUGUUUGUGUUUCUGCAGCCUGCAAAUGUUCAUUUGUGAAGAGGAGAAAAGGAAAGCAAAAGUUCUAAAAG